RNAcentral lists this ribosomal RNA (919 nucleotides) under Saccharomyces sp. WW-W40. Its description in RNAcentral is "SSU rRNA". It matches the Rfam family "Eukaryotic small subunit ribosomal RNA", at positions 1 to 952 of the family's 1831-position model. The record is from RNAcentral. Lineage: Eukaryota; Fungi; Ascomycota; Saccharomycetes; Saccharomycetales; Saccharomycetaceae.
AGUGAUUGUAGUCAUAUGGUUGUCUCAAAGAUUAAGCCAUGCAUGUCUAAGUAUAAGCAAUUUAUACAGUGAAACUGCGAAUGGCUCAUUAAAUCAGUUAUAGUUUAUUUGAUAGUACCUUACUACUUGGAUAACCGUGGUAAUUCUAGAGCUAAUACAUGCUAAAAACCCCGACUGCUUGGGAGGGGUGUAUUUAUUAGAUAAAAAAUCAAUGCCCUCGGGCUCUUUGAUGAUUCAUAAUAACUUGUCGAAUCGCAUGGCUUUACGCCGGCGAUGGUUCAUUCAAAUUUCUGCCCUAUCAACUGUCGAUGGUAGGAUAGUGGCCUACCAUGGUGGCAACGGGUAACGGGGAAUAAGGGUUCGAUUCCGGAGAGGGAGCCUGAGAAACGGCUACCACAUCCAAGGAAGGCAGCAGGCGCGCAAAUUACCCAAUCCUAAUUCAGGGAGGUAGUGACAAUAAAUAACGAUACAGGGCCCUUCUGGGUCUUGUAAUUGGAAUGAGUACAAUGUAAAUACCUUAACGAGGAACAAUUGGAGGGCAAGUCUGGUGCCAGCAGCCGCGGUAAUUCCAGCUCCAAUAGCGUAUAUUAAAGUUGUUGCAGUUAAAAAGCUCGUAGUUGAACUUUGGGCCUGGCAGGCCGGUCCGCUUUUUGGCGAGUACUGACCCUGCCGGGCCUUUCCUUCUGGCUACCCUCCCCUCUGGAGAGGCGAACCAGGACUUUUACUUUGAAAAAAUUAGAGUGUUCAAAGCAGGCCUUUGCUCGAAUAUAUUAGCAUGGAAUAAUAGAAUAGGACGUUUGGUUCUAUUUUGUUGGUUUCUAGGACCAUCGUAAUGAUUAAUAGGGACGGUCGGGGGCAUCAGUAUUCAGUUGUCAGAGGUGAAUUCUUGGAUUUACUGAAGACUAACUACUGCGAAAGC